Lolium perenne is the source of this 850-nucleotide non-coding RNA. NCBI's taxonomy places the organism in Eukaryota, Viridiplantae, Streptophyta, Magnoliopsida, Poales, Poaceae. The record is from RefSeq and is a predicted model, not a curated record.
CCCCUUCCUCUUCUUUUCCUUCCUCCACAAGCUUUGCCUCCCAACUACCCCAAUCACUAAAUGGGCAGCCACCCACCUUGGCCAAUCAAGUGAAGAGCUGCCACCACUCCCUCCCUCUAUAAAACCUCAUAGCCGGCCACCCCCUCCUCUCUUUGCUCUCAUUUUUCACUCCCCACUUCUUCCUCCACUCCCUCACACUCCUCUCAUACCUCUUACCCACGAGCUGCUGCUCCUCCCAAGCUCCAUGGCCGGCCAUGGCCAUGGAAAUCCACCUAGAUGAAGCUCCCCUCCUCCCUCAAGCUUCCCCUCACCAUGAGAGCCUCCCUCUCCUUCUUCUCCCCAACCCUAGAUGGUUUUCUCUCCUCUUCUUCUUCCUCCCUUGCUAAGAUUGGAUCUUGAUGCAGGUUCAUGUUGGUCCAAGCAUGGAGAAGCUUGAGCUAUCCUCAGAUCUGAAGUUCUUGAGCAAAAUCCAAAUCGAGUGAUUCAAAGUUCCGCAGAUAGGUAUUGAAAAGAUCUACAACUUGGCGUUGGUCUCAUACUCAAAUUCGUUACGGAUUUUGCAAGAUCAAGAUCUGGUCAGAUCUGACUUUGUCGAAUUAAACCAGGAGCUUGGAAACGAAUUUUUGAAUGAAACCAAUUGGGAUGUUAUCUACCAGGGGAUAUUUGGUUUAUACCAUGGUGAUACCCGAGAAAGGCAAUUGCUAAGUUGUGAUACUCUCAUACCUUUACUAGAUGCGAACGAUUCCGGAGAAGAAGAAGAAGUGGUUCGGACAAGGAUUUUAUUUAUAUUGACGGGAUUCUUAUAUUGAUGAAGUUGAAGAAGUCCAGGGACAAAUAAGCCAAGGCAAGC